CUACGGGGUGCUGCAGUCGAGAAUCUUCCGCAAUGGGCGCAAGCCUGACGGAGCAAUGCCGCGUGAGGGAUGACGGCCCUAGGGUUGUAAACCUCUGUCAGAAGGGACGAAGAACGUGACGGUACCCUCAGAGGGAGCCAUGGCUAACUACGUGCCAGCAGCCGCGGUAAUACGUAGAUGGCGAGCGUUAUUCGGAUUUACUGGGCGUAAAGGGUCCGUAGGGGGUCUGCCAAGUCUGAUGUGAAAUCCUGCGGCUCAACCGCGGAACUGCAUUGGAAACUGGCGGACUAGAGUGUGCGAGGGGUGAGCGGAAUUCCUGGUGUAGCGGUGGAAUGCGUAGAUAUCAGGAAGAACACCGAUGGCGAAGGCGGCUCACUGGCGCAUCACUGACCCUGAGGGACGAAAGCGUGGGUAGCAAACAGGAUUAGAUACCCCGGUAGUC
RNAcentral lists this ribosomal RNA (442 nucleotides) under uncultured bacterium. RNAcentral describes it as "partial 16S ribosomal RNA". It matches the Rfam family "Bacterial small subunit ribosomal RNA", at positions 339 to 795 of the family's 1533-position model. The record is from RNAcentral.